UCGGAUGGAUUUGAGUACGAGCGUCGGUUGACUGACCCGAAAGAUGGUGAACUAUGCGUGAAUAGGGUGAAGCCAGAGGAAACUCUGGUGGAGGCUCGCAGCGGUUCUGACGUGCAAAUCGAUCGUCAAAUUUGCGUAUAGGGGCGAAAGACUAAUCGAACCAUCUAGUAGCUGGUUCCAGCCGAAGUUUCCCUCAGGAUAGCAGUAACGUUUUCAGUUUUAUGAGGUAAAGCGAAUGAUUAGAGGCCUUGGGAUGAAACAUCCUUAACCUAUUCUCAAACUUUAAAUAUGUAAGAAGUCCUUGUUGCUUAAUUGAACGUGGACAUUUGAAUGCACCGUUACUAGUGGGCCAUUUUUGGUAAGCAGAACUGGCGAUGCGGGAUGAAACCGAACGUGAGGUUAAG
This 404-nucleotide ribosomal RNA is filed under the name Placopsis fusciduloides. RNAcentral describes it as "eukaryotic LSU rRNA". It matches the Rfam family "Eukaryotic large subunit ribosomal RNA", at positions 780 to 1184 of the family's 3401-position model. Lineage: Eukaryota; Fungi; Ascomycota; Lecanoromycetes; Trapeliales; Trapeliaceae. The record is from RNAcentral.